GCUGGGCAUGGUGGCGCAUGCCUGUAAUCCCAGUUACUCGGGAGGCUGAGGCAGGAGAAUCGCUUGAACCCGGGAGGUGGAGGUUGCAGUGAGCCAGGAUCGCGCCACAGCACUCCAGCCUGGGUAACAGAGUGAGACUCCAUCUCCA
Molecule: unclassified non-coding RNA, 148 nt
Organism: Pongo abelii (Sumatran orangutan)
Lineage: Eukaryota; Metazoa; Chordata; Mammalia; Primates; Hominidae
Rfam family: Metazoan signal recognition particle RNA
About the family: The signal recognition particle (SRP) is a universally conserved ribonucleoprotein.
Source: Ensembl